Molecule: ribosomal RNA, 503 nt
Filed under: uncultured bacterium
Lineage: Bacteria
Description: partial 16S ribosomal RNA
Rfam family: Bacterial small subunit ribosomal RNA
Source: RNAcentral
AUUGAACGCUGGCGGCAGGCUUAACACAUGCAAGUCGAGCGGGGUGAUGGUGCUUGCACUAUCACUUAGCGGCGGACGGGUGAGUAAUGCUUAGGAAUCUGCCUAUUAGGGGGGGACAACAUCUCGAAAGGGAUGCUAAUACCGCAUACGUCCUACGGGAGAAAGCAGGGGAUCACUUGUGACCUUGCGCUAAUAGAUGAGCCUAAGUCGGAUUAGCUAGUUGGGGGGGUAAAGGCCUACCAAGGCGACGAUCUGUAGCGGGUCUGAGAGGAUGGGCCGCCACACUGGGACGUAGAAAAGGCCCAGACUCCUACGGGAGGCAGCAGUGGGGAAUAUUGGACAAUGGGGGGAACCCUGAUCCAGCCAUGCCGGGUGUGUGAAGAAGGCUUUAUGGUUGUAAAGCACUUUAAGCGAGGAGGAGGCUCUUUUGGUUAAUACCCAAGAUGAGUGGACGUUACUCGCAGAAUAAGCACUGGCUAACUCUGUGCCAGCAGCCGCCGUAA